CUUUCAGAUUGCAAGAAAUAGAGGUCUGUUCUGCUAACCUCAGCUGUCGGGAGGCGGCUUAUAAGGAUACUCCAGCAACUAUGGAGAGUGAAUUUCUGCUCUGCCCGUGGCUCACCGAAACAAUAUGCUCUGACGCGCCAGAUCUUUUCUUGUUGCCUUUUUAGCAAUGAUGAACAUUAGAUGUUUGCCACUUGGCGCCAUCAGUACGGCUGGCGUCAGGCUUUGGGCUGAGAGGCAGCAGAUGGAUGUCAAGUCCAGCGCUCGGAGUCCUUCCUAACGGCCUCCCUCUAGGGUAACCUUGGCCGCGGCUGUUUCUCCUCUGGGAGGCGAGCGGCCCCUCCCCGUCCAAGGGCGCCGCCAUGUUGGGUUCCAGCGCAUCGGCUCUGAAAGGUCAAGUGUGGAUUUGGACGUUUGGCCAAGGAAAGGAGGCUACUUUUCAGGUAUAUUCAGCCGGUGAGCUGCAGCUCAGCCUCACUUGUCUUCUUCAUUCUGGGAUCCUGGCUGGAGGAGCAGUUCCUAACUGGGAAACGGAGCAAUGGACAAACGAUGUGUCAGCUUUUAAAACUUCUGCUCAGAAGUGGCAUAUAUUACUUCUACUCACAUUUCUGUAGCCAACUGGAUGUUAGUGGUACAGGGAAGGAUAAUCCUUCUGUAGGACGCCCUGGUCCCUCGAGUGGGUGGCUCAUCCUUCUGCAGGGAGAGCUGUGGAACACUGGGAACAGCGUCAUCUACCUCAGCCUCCUUAAGGGUUCCCUGGUGUGAGCAGACUGAAACUAAUGGCCAAAACUUAGUUUCAGAAUUCUUUGUGUGUAAUAUUUUUCAUGAACUCUCUGCAAUUAACAAGUAACUAGAAAUUGGCCCGUUGAGCUUUUGGAAUAUAUCCUGAAUCUCUCAGUGUGCUUAUUUAAUAAAUGCUCAUUGUAAGA
Molecule: long non-coding RNA, 926 nt
Organism: Balaenoptera acutorostrata (minke whale)
Lineage: Eukaryota; Metazoa; Chordata; Mammalia; Artiodactyla; Balaenopteridae
Exons: 3
Source: RefSeq, a predicted model, not a curated record